UUUACAGAGACAUUCGUCGACGUCUUACUCUGCGCCGUCCCGAUUUGGCUCGCCGUCAUGAUCGGUCUUUUGAUCGGAUGGUCUUGGCGUCCGAGAUGGACCGGGUUGAUCUAUCUAGGGUUCCGUUCUAAGCUUCGGUUUCUGUGGACUGCGCCUCCUGGGUUCGGCGCUCGUCGUCUUUGGCUUGCUUUCACUGCUCUCUCCGCUUUCUCCGUUUGCCGCACCGUCUGGUCGAGGCGUGACACGUCAGCUAACAAAUCGGGGAAUGGUUCAGCGCCGACACAGCUGGCUCCUGUAGAAGAGAGUCCUCAAAGUGAUGAAACAGGGUCAGUUUAUUACAGAACAUGAUUGAUAUGUUUUUUUUUUCCCCCUUACAAUCUGAGAUUCUCUCUGUUCUGUUAAUCAUAGUUAUGUGUUCAAAAAAGGAACGUUUGCUUUUAAUGUUAGCUUGUAAAGUUAUAUAGUAUGGUAGAUUUGAUUGAUUUUGUAUUUAGUGUAGCAGCGUUGAUACAUUAAUUAUACUUGCAGGGCUAGCGAUAACACGACGGUGAGAGAGGAGAUUGUGACAGAGAAUGAUCUAGAGCAUUUGCUGCAGCUGCUUGAAGUUGGGAAUGCGACUAGGGAAUGGCAAUCCAUGAUGGACAAGACUACUCCAAAUAUGAGUUACCAGGCUUGGCGCCAUGAGCCUCAGGUAAUCAAUUUCUUAGAUUUUACUUUGUAAAAUCUGAACAUCAUUAAUAUGAUAUUAGCAUUCUUAGCAAAAAAAAAAAAAAAGAGGGAAUACAAUUUUAAAUCAAAGGAUUUAUAAAAUUGAAAUUUGUUAGUUCCUGAAAGUUUAUGACAAGGAUUCUCAAUAAUUAUUAUAAUAAAAUAUUGAUUAUAACAGUACACCUUAAAUUUGUAAAGAAUGCUGGACACUUCAAAUAAAAAUAACGUCAUCCUCGUUAGUUUUGAGCAAUUUGUUGAAGAAAUAUUUUGGGCCAGCCAAAGUAAAAGCUAUUGGCCGAACCAACUGCAAUAACACCCCCAACUUUCCAGCACAUCUGAAUCUCUCCAGAAGGCAGAAACAUAUCUCUCUCACUCUCCUUAUCCACAAUUUCCCCAGUCCCCUAAAGACCCACUCUCCCUUACUCCCGCGUGUAAUUCACUAUUUGGCUUUCUAAUUUUAUCUCGACAUUGAUAUUCUUUUUCAUUUUCUGAAAUGUACUGUGUAAAUGUAAACAAUCACAAUUUCCAAAAGAAUGUAUAAUCUAGUAAAUCAACAAUAGUAUUAAUAAAUGAUGGUCCUAAGGGCAUCAUUAUGGGAGGGACUUGAUUAAGGGCCCUUAACAUUUUUUAUUAUUAUUUUUGUGUUAAGGAACUAAGUUAAGGGCUUUUGUAUAAGUAGCUGAUUAUUGGUGGGACUUAACUUGUCCCUUACUUAGUUAAAUUGAUUAUUUUCAUUAAUAAGUAAUAACAUAUAUAAAAGCAUAGUUUUUAAAAAAACAUGUAAAAGAAAAGUCUAACAUUCAAAUUGAAAACAUGAGGAAUUUUUUAAAAAUAAAAAUUACAAACAUCUUAAUAUAUAAAAGCAAACAAACAUUUUAUUCGAGUAAUAAAAACUUAUAAAUCAGAAGUUAUUUGGAAGAUGUCCAAAUUUAGCCCAUAUAUUAUCGAUCAAAUCAUUUUUUAAUUGGUGAUGGGCUUGUGUAUUCCGAACGCUCGUUCGACGAUCAAUCAUAUUACCGAGAUUUGAAGGCAUAUUGACGGAAAAUGUAUCCUCCUCUUCACUUUCUUGAAAUUCUUCAAGGUCAAACUGAGUAGAUGCUGAUCGUUCAUCUUCGACAAUCAUAUUAUGGAGAAUGAUAGAUGCUCUCAUAAUAGUUGCAAUCUUCUCUUUAUCCCAUAACUGAGAUGGGUUUCGGACCACGGCAAAUCUAGCUUGCAGGACUCCAAAGGCACGCUCGACAUCUUUUCUCACAGCUUCUUGGGUUUGAGCGAAUAAUGAAUUCUUCUGACCUUGGGGAAGUCGGAUAGAUUGAAUAAAAGUCGCCCAUUUCGGAUAAAUACCGUCCGUGAGAUAAUAUGCCAAAUGAUACUGAUUCCCAUUCACAUUGAAAUUUACUUCUGGGGCUAUUCCGUUAAUAAUGUCGUCAAAAACGGGUGAUCGAUCAAGAAUAUUAAGGUCGUUCAUAGUACCUGGAGCUCCAAAAAAUGCGUGCCAUAUCCAGAGGUCAUAUGAAGCUACGGCCUCCAAUACAAUAGUUGGUUUAUUGGUUCCACGCGAAUACAUUCCUUUCCAAGCGGUUGGACAAUUCUUCCACUCCCAAUGCAUACAGUCGAUGCUUCCAACCAUUCCGGGAAACCCACGUUGUUCUCCAAUAUAUAAUAGUCUUUGCAGAUCCUCCGGUGUGGGACGUCUUAGAUAUUCCUCGCCAAACAAUUGGACUAUUCCCGCGGUAAAAUGGUGCAAACAUUUUCGAGCUGUUGUUUCACCAAGCCGGACAUAUUCGUCAACGGUAUCAGAGCCACCACCAUACGCCAAUUGUCUAAUUGCUGCGGUACAUUUUUGGAGCGGAGAAAGACUAGCCCGUCCGGUGGCAUCUUGUCUUGGUUGAAAGUAUUCUAUUUCAUUAGACAUACGAUGCAUAAUACGCAAGAACAAAGUCUUGUUCAUUCGAAACCGUCUUCGGAAUAUGUUGUGCGGGUAUGUUGGAGAUUCAGAAAAGUAAUCGUUCCAGAGCUUCGUGUGGCCUUCUUCCCGGUUUCUCUCGAUAUGUAUACGCGGUUUUCUCUUUUUUGGUUCGGGAAUGAAAUUAGGAUUUUCAAAUAUAUCUUCAAACAUAGAAUCAAAUUCAUCAUCAUCAUCUUUGUGAUAAUGAUAAUGUGAAGAAGAAGCCAUUCAAAAUUUAUAAAAGAGAUUGAAAUUUCUAAAAGAUAAUUGAAAGAGAGAAUGUGUUAUGAGGAGGAGAAGUAAUGCAUUGUAUGUGAGAAGUAUGAUCUAUAUAUGCUACAUUGUCGGGUAUGAACGCAUGACACUUUGAUCACGAGCAUUACUAUGUGCUCACGAGCAGUUCAGUGUGCUCACGGGACAGACUCAAGACAGACAAGUGACAGACUCAUCAUGUCGCCUUUGUUCUUUUGUGUAAGAAAAGUCACGGGAAUUUUUAUAAUAAAACUUCAGUUACAUGAGAUGCGUGAGAUUACUUAUAAUAAAAGUUGAGUUACAUUAGAUGACUUAUAAUAAAACUUAAUGUUCCACAGGAAGCAAAUACAAAUGACAAACAAAUAAGCAUCUCUAAACUACCACAAGAACCAUUGCACCACGCCAACUAAAACUACCACAACAACCAUUACCCCGAGAAAGAACUCAAACCUAUAGCUAACCUUAGAUUUUUCCUUAGCUAAAUCAUAGACCAUCUUCUCUAGAAUGGCUACCUUCUGCUCAGUCUCGUUGUCAGACAAAAGGGCAAGACUGUCGACCUUUUCAGACAGCAGAAGAACUUGUCUAUCUCUGUCUCGCAGCUCCUCCAUAAACGCAUCAUCCCACCAUUUCCAUACGUGACACUCCCCAUCAUCUACAUUCGGACAAGUGUAGUAUCGCCUACCUAUUUCGCGAGAAGAUGUUGCAAGUAGUGGCUGAGCGCCACAGUAGCAUCUCUGCGGGAUGCCGAACUCGACCUCGGGUUCCGGAGGGUACUGCACCGGUGAACCUCUUUGUAAGCGUAUCUCCUCUUGGUCACGUCGAAUUAAGUCAUCCGUCUCGUUGUAGCCACUGUCCACAGAGUUGCAAAAUAAAUCCUCCGAGUCCGAAGGUUGACUAUAGCUGUAGUCAAGUCCCAUGUUCCUCUUAUCCUGCAGAAAACGUCAACUGCAUAUUAGAAUCAAGUUUUAGCAAAAACAUUUGUUUAAAAAGAGACAAAGCAAGCAUAUUAAAAGAGACGUACUCAUUUCAUUAAACAACCAUAUUAAAAAGACAUACAUUAAAACAGAGAAUUAAAAGGACAAAGAAAAAACUAUUAAAAAGACAAAUAUAAAAUAUAGAACAUGACAUCUAAUUCUUCAGAAGUACGCAGCUAAGAGCUUAUUCUUCACGACUUCUUCUGCCUCAGUUAAGGGCUCCGACUUUUGGAGGAGAGUAUCCAGUAUAGCCAACUUAGUCAGUCUCUCCUUCAUGGCCAAAUCCUCCUUCUUCAUUUCCCAUAGGGUGGUGUACUCAGCAACAGACUUCCCUUGACCAGUGUUCCUUUUCGAUUUAGCAGCCUUGAUACCUUCAGGCCGGGUCUCAUGAUCAGCAUUCUCGGUGGGUGGCGUUUCAGGUGGGGUUUCACCAUUUUUCCUCUUUGAGCUCGCUUUUGGAGUGUUGAGGCUGAGCCAUUUCUGCUCAUACCUCAACACACACCACGCAUACUCGAGGUUGAACUUGGUUCUCUGAUCAGCGUAGAAGAUGUCGUGAGCCCUCUUGAGAACAUCAGUGUCACUCUCACCACUGCUAAUUUGCCUCUCUGCAGUGGCAUAAGCGCCGCAGAACUUGUUAACUUGAUCGUUUAUCCUAGCCCACCUCUUCUUACAAUGAAGAUGCUCUCUCUUUUCAACUUCCUCUGCUCCGUGAGGACUUGCUGUGUAAUAGUCAGCAACACGUUGCCAGAAGGUGAGUGACUUCUGCUGAUUUCCAACUACGGCAUCCUUGGAAGUGUUGAGCCACGCACUGAUUAGGACCUCGUCAUCAGCCGGGGUCCAUUUGCGUCGAGCAACACGGUCCACGGGUGUGCCUACUGGUGUGCCUAAUGGUGUGCCUACCGGUGUGUCUUCAGAUUGGUGAGAACUGAAAGGAGGGUUCUCGGAUUCUCCUAAGUGAACAUUGGAAUUGAAAGGGAAGUAGCUAGAGGACUCCGUAUAAUGAUUUCUUGGAUCCAUACCGAUAAGAAGCGAGAAGAGAUUAAGAGGAGGUGGUAGAAGAGAUCAACUAGCUACGUAUAUUUAAGGGGGGCAUCAGAAGGGGGUUGAUUGGAGGAAGUGAAGAGUAAGUUAGCAUUAACUUACCCACUUAAUAACUAACCGGCAACAAGAUAUGUCUUAUCUAAAGUUAUUACACAAACAAAAAGCUAUCAACUAUCCUAACAAGAUCAUUAAUAUAUUGUUGGAUUUAGUUUCACACAAACUACCCUUUACAGCCAAACCUAUCUAAUCAAUACGAAGUAACCACGACAAUGGCUUUAAUAAACAGCGAAACAUUUACAAAACAAGUGUACCUUCACUAGAAUUUUAUGGUGUGGUUCAUUAAAAAUACACAGAUUUCAAACUAAAAAUACACAUUCAAAAAUUGCAAAUGCAAAUCAUCUCUAGGAACCGCUUAUCAAAUCCUAUAUACGAAUAUCAAAUCAUCUAUACCAAUCGCUUAUCAAAUCCUCCAUACGAAUAUUAGCUAACCUAUACGAAUCUAUCAAUUCAUCUCUACGAAACCCUUAUCAAAUUUUCAAUCAAAUAAUCAAUACAAGUUUUCCAAUUUACAUCUAAACGAAACCCUAAUCCAAUUUUCCAUCAAAUAAUAAUCUCGAGAAAGAACGGAGGUGAAGGACAUACCUUUGUAUGGUUGGGUCGAUUCUCACACGAUUGGGGAUGCUUGGGAAACUAACCGAACCGACGAUUUAGGUCUUCGUCAUCGGAGAUUUCAGAGUCGCUCUCGCCGUUGGAUGUAGAUCGCGCUUUCGGUUUCCGAAACAAGUUUUGGGCCACCGGAGUCUGAUAAAUCACCUUCGCCGUCGCCUUUUGGAGUCGACUAGAAGAGAAACACGAAGAGAGAAAAUGAAAAAGGCGAUACGGCUUCGAUAUCAUCUCCCAAUCCGGUGCUGCCACGUACACACGAGGGACGACACCGGGAAGCCCUUAAUCAAGGCCCGUUCGUCUCGUCCUUUGCCUUUUUAAUUUUUUUUUUAACCCAAAAUUGGUUAAGGGCCGGCCCAAGUCCCUCCGAUAAUGAUGCCCUAAGUCUCCUGACCUCAUGACAUUGUUGUAAAUUAAUAAACGAACUUGUUUCGAAUAAAUUGUUGAAUGUGAGAUUUUCUGGGGCCUUUUAAAGGUCUGUUUCUGUUUGAAUUGAUUUGUUCUAGUUUUUCAAAUUUUGCGUUUCUAAGAUUGUCUGUUUUUUUUUUUGAUCAAAACUAAUAUUGUCUGUUUCAAAUCACGAAAAUAGUUUAAAGUCAUUUUCUGAAGAAAAAAACUUAAGUCGAAAAAACAAACAAAAGAGAAUAUGAGAUUUCAGCAUAUUCCUCCUCUCUCUGUAGUGAAACGACGCGCUAAUAAGUAACGCGUGGUAAAGCAUUCGUCGGUCAACGAGAGAACCACGUCAUCUCGCAGUCUGUUUCUUAUCAUUAUUUUUAUCACCACCACCCACUUAACGUCUUUUCCACACAGCAAAUAUCGUAUUAUUAUUAUUAAUUAAAAUCACCAAACUUCAUUAAAAAAACAAAUAAAAUAAAGAAAAUUGUUGUUCUUCUUCUUCUUCUUCGAUUCUUCUGCAUCAAAUAAUCGGUUCAAAAUCUCCGGCGAUCUUAGAAGAAUCCCAUUGUCCUUGUGGGGGAAUCUGACAUUUUCAACCGCCAUGGAUGAGACCUAUUCAUAUCUAAUGCAAAUCCUGAAGAAGCCCUCUUUUACAGAGACAUUCGUCGACAUCUUACUCUGCGCCGUCCCGAUUUGGCUCGCCGUCAUGAUCGGUUUAUUGAUCGGAUGGUCUUGGCGUCCGAGAUGGACCGGGUUGAUCUACCUAGGGUUCCGUUCUAAGCUUCGGUUUCUGUGGACUGCUCCUCCUGGGUUCGGCGCUCGUCGUCUUUGGCUUGCCUUCACGGCUCUCU
RNAcentral lists this long non-coding RNA (6830 nucleotides) under Brassica napus (rape). RNAcentral describes it as "long non-coding RNA (BNAP_LNC006674)". Lineage: Eukaryota; Viridiplantae; Streptophyta; Magnoliopsida; Brassicales; Brassicaceae. The record is from RNAcentral.